This 72-nucleotide transfer RNA is filed under the name Pangasianodon gigas (Mekong giant catfish). RNAcentral's name for it is "tRNA-Glu". The record is from RNAcentral. Lineage: Eukaryota; Metazoa; Chordata; Actinopteri; Siluriformes; Pangasiidae.
UCCCUGGAGGAUUAGGGGUUAGGCCACAGCAUUCUCACCAUUGCAGCCUGGGUUUGAUUCCCAGCCAGGGAA